Molecule: long non-coding RNA, 846 nt
Filed under: Lathyrus oleraceus (garden pea)
Lineage: Eukaryota; Viridiplantae; Streptophyta; Magnoliopsida; Fabales; Fabaceae
Description: Pisum sativum (pea) long non-coding RNA (PSAT_LNC000061)
Source: RNAcentral
GUGGGGCACUUUUAAUAAGGAGAGAAAGAUAGAGAAUGAAGAAUAAAUAUUAUAUUAUUAAAUUAUAAUUGUGUUACAAAACUGAAUUACAAAGUAUUUAUUUAUAUAUAAUUAAAUGACUUGACUACCGAGUAACAAAUAUAACAAUACUACUAAGUAACAAAUAUAACAAUCUUAAACUCUAAUUAACUUUGAAUUUAAACCUUACCCAACUUAAAUUAUAUCACAACAUUCUCAUAAACCGUUUUGAAGUGCUCCUCCAACUUACGUCCAAGUCCAACAUAUUUCGGACAAGGUUAAAUUUCUACUCUUCACUUUAUACACAACAUUAACAGGCAUACUUAGUAUUUGCAUUUAAGAGAAUUGAUAAACAAAAGCUUCAAUGAAAGAGAACCAAACCGAAUAUGUCCCCAUCGUCGUACAAAAUUAAGCCUCUAUCCAAUCAUGGUUGCACUUUGUGUUACAUAAACGUGACCACAAAAUAUUUGUUUUCAAAGGGUAUAUUUGUUCAUAAACCUAAGUCAAAUGUACUAUUGUUUCGAUAUAAUUGAUAAGUAUAUUAAUACAAAUCAAGUACAGUAUAUGAUUGUAAACUUUGAGUUGAAAUAAAAAUAUUUUGUACUUGAUUUGUUUUCUGAAAAUCUAACAAUACCAUGUGUUAGAUUCGUAGCCUAUAAGUAGGAUAAAUCUUUACUAGUAUAUAUACUUAUUGAUGUAUAACUUUAAUACAGUUUGGAAGAGAAUUGUGUGUACAUGAAGCUCUCUUAUAUAAUUUACUUUUUCAGAUCACUUCAGCUUUUUCCUUCAAAAUAGCUUAAAUUCCUCUUCUCCUUGGCUAUAAGUUGC